RNAcentral lists this small RNA (3988 nucleotides) under Plasmodium sp. Lineage: Eukaryota; Apicomplexa; Aconoidasida; Haemosporida; Plasmodiidae. The record is from RNAcentral.
GUUAUUUUAUUUCAUUUUAUUUUAUUUUAUUUUAUUUUCUUUUUUGUAUUAGUUUUUAAAAUUAGUUUAUAAUAAUAUGUAAUAAAUUAUAUGAAUGAGAAUAUCUAUAUAAUGAUCAUUAAAUCAUAAUAUAUUCAGUAUAAUAUAAAACAAAACAAAAUUAGAAAAAAAGAUUUAUAUUUAAUUAAUGGAUAAUAUAUAUAAAAAUAUAUGUUAUAUAAUAUACAAAGUAUUAAUAAUGUAAAAUAUAAACGGAAAAAAAUAUAGGAAAGUAUGGAUUUAUAAUUUGAAUAUAUAUUCAUAAAAUUAAUUAAUUAAUUAAUUAUAUUGUAAAUAUACACAACUGAUUAAUUUAUUAUAUGCCAAAUUUAAAAAAUGUCACAUAUAAUAUAUAUAAAUUAAUGUGAAUAAAACAUUGUUUUAUAUUAUUAUUUCAAAUUCUCAUAUUUAAUAACUUUUUAUAUACAUUCAUCCUCGUCAAACUUAGGCAAAUAUAAAAAUUUUUUAAUAACAUAUACAGGUACUAUAAAAUUAAUGGGGUAACAAGGAAUUAUAAAUAUUUCAAAAAAUGAAAGUAAGAUUAAAUGUAACAAUGGUGAACGCUUAUUCUGAAUCCUUAAAUCUAAUAUUUUGUCUAAAAAUAGAUUAUCAUAAAAUUCUAAUUUAUAUUUUAAUUUUUUAAUAUAUUUUAUCUGUAAUUCAUUAUUCAUAUAAUUAACAUGAUCAAUGUAAUCAUAUUUUGCAUCAUUUAUUUCUUGUUUUAAUAAACCAAAAUAACUAGGUUUUUUAUCUGUUUCAUCAUAAUUAGAUAUUGUAUCUAUAUCCUUGUCAUUAUCAUUAUCAUUAUCAUUAUUUAUAUGACUCGUUUUAUGCGUUUGUAAGAUUUUGUUAGUUGUCUCAUCAUUCUUUGGAUAUAUUUCACAUAAUUGUCUAAUCAAAUUAUAAUAUGUUAUAUUAUCAUUUUGAGAGACAUUAAGAAAUGUGUUAUAAUAUACCUAAAAGUUAUAAAUAAAUUUAUAAAUAAUGUUAUUAAUAAUAUAAGAGUAUGAAAAAAAAAAAAAAAAAAAACAUGAUAAAUAAUAUGUAUAUACAUUUUCACAUAUUAUGUAUUUUAUAUUAAUACCUUAUUAGAAUUAAAUAAGCCUAAAAUAAAAAGUAAAAACACAAAAAAUUUAUUCAUUGAAAAAAGAUAAUUCGAUUUAUUAAAGACAUUAUAAAUAUAUAUAAACCUUAUAUUUAUAUAUAGAUAAUAUAUUCAUGAUAUAUGAGGGUUUUUAUAAAAUAUAUAUUAUAUUUUAAUAAUUUUAUAUAAAUUCGUUGAAAAAUUAAAUAAUAAAAAAAUUUAUUUUAUAAAUACUAAAAAAUUAUAUAAUAUAUAUAUUUAUGAAAAAUAAAAAAAAUAAAAAUAAUAAAAAAAAUAUUAUAUUUUUAUCAAUAUAUAUAAUAAAUAUAUAUAUUAUAAUGUAUAAUAUAAUAAUUUAAUAUAUUUUUGGUUAUAAUGAAAUAUCAAUUAUUUAUAUAUAAAUUGAUUUAUAUAUUAAAACAUAUUUUUUAAUUAUAUAUAUAAUAAAUUAAGCAAAUAUAUAAUUGGCUAACGUAAUAAUUUUAAUAUAUAUAGAUAAAAAUUACUUUUUCUUAAAAAAACAUAAAUUAUUAGAAAUAUAAAAUAAGUAAAAACAGCCAAAAUAAUAAUAAAAUAAUUAAUUAAUUUUUUAGUAUAUAAUUAUAUGCAUAUAAUAUAAAUAUAUAUAAUUAUAAUUAUAUAUUUUUAUUAAUUUAUUAAAAAUAAUAAUAAUAUAAAUACAAUUACAGGGAUUUCAUUAAAAUAUUAUAUAUAAUAUAUUUUAAAAAUAAAUUAUAUUAAUAAUUAUUUGUGAAGAAUGAAUAAAAUUAUAUUAAUUUUUUUUUUUUUUUUUUGUAUUUCCUUUAUCGUUGUAGUUAAAAUUAUAUUUUAUAAAAAUUUAUAUUAAUGUUUAUGUAAUAUGUUUUCUAUAAUAAAAAGUUUUAUUUUUAUUAUGAAUUUUUUUUUUUUUUUUUAAUUAUUAAAAAUCAAAAUAUAUUAUUAAUAUAAUUAUAUAUAAUUUUUUUUUUUUUUUUUUUUUUUUUUUUUUGAAUAUAAUAAUAAAGUUAUUUAUAUUGCAAAUUUUUUUUUUAUUAUAUUUAUAAUAUGUAUAAUAUGAACAAAUCAUUAUGUAAUUGUAUAAAAUAGAAUAAUAAGAAUCAGUUAUCUUUAUGUUUACACAAUAUAUAUAUAUAUAUAUAAAUCAUUAUAGAGAAGUAUAAAAUAUAAAUGUAGUCUUAUUAAAAUAUUUAGAUAUAAUUUAUAUAAAUGCAACAUAUGUAUAAUAAAAUAUAAUAUGUAACAAGAAUAAUUAUAAAUAAUUGAAUAAUAUAGUAUAAAUAAAAAUAGAAUUUUAUAUAAUAUGUCUAUAGAAUUUUAAUAAUACAGAAAUGGCUAAUACUUUAUAUCGAAUGAAUUACAAUAUAUUAUAAGAUAAAAAAAUAGUAAUAUUUUAAGGCAUAUAAUAUAUUUUAUAAAGAAAACACAAAAAGAAAGAAAGAUCCAACAUUAUAUAUAUAUAUAUAUAUAUAUAUAUAUUUCUCUUUGUUUUUGAAUAACUAAAAUAAGUAGUUUUACCUUUUAUCUUAAUAUCAUAUAGUUAAUUCUUAUUUCUUCUCUUAUUCUUAACGUAAUAUUUAAUUUUACAUUUUUUAUGAUUAUAUGUUCCUUUGUAGAUUUGUACUUCUUUUGCUGAAAUUAUUUUAUUUUUAUUUGUUCAUUUUUAUUUAUAUAUUUUUAUGAAUGUAAUUUUUAGUCUUUUUUACAAAGAACAAUAAAAUAUUCAUAUUAUGUAUAAACAAAUUGGUAUUUCUGCUAUAUAUAUAUAUAUGUAUAUAUUCAUAAAUUUUCUAGGGUCUUGUGUAAAAUACGGUGUACACAAUUGCAUAUAAUUUUUUUUAUAUAUGAAGAAGAAAUUAAAUAGAAAUAUUAAUUUCCUAAUAUAUUAAAAUUAAAUUUAAUUUUUUGUACCUUAAAGACAUAAUUUAAAAAAAAAAAAAAAAAAAAAAAAAAAAUGGAAAAUGUAUAAAGAAAUAAAAAUAUAAAAAAAUGUAUGAAAAUUCUAUGUAUAUUUAUAUAUAAAAAAUUUUAAGUAUACUUAAAUUUUAUUUUUUUAAAAAAAAUAUGUUUAUAAUUCAAAAAUAUAUAUGUUGUAAUUUAUGUAUAUAUUUAUAAAGAAACAAAUAUUAGUAAAACAUACAUUUAAAAAAAAAAAAAAUUAUGAAGUAUUUUACAUUCUCCAAUCUGUCCGUAACACAAUGAAAAAAAAAAUAAUAAAAAUUAAGAAAAUUUUUUUUAUAUAUUUUUUACAUAUAUUAGAUUGUUUACUAAAAAAAUUACUAUUUUUAACUUUUGUAUUUUGUUAUAAAUUGGUUUAUAUAUAUAUGUAGAUAGCGAAAUACUUUUAAUUUUUUUUUUUUUUUUUUUUUUAUGAUGAACUAUCCUAGGUAGCUAGCUAAAAUAAUAAUGAAAAAAAAAAAAAAAAAUUAUAUAUAAAAGUUUUAUUUUGAAUUAAGAAUGUUAUAAUAUUGUUAUUUUUAUUCAUAAAAAUAAUAUUUAUAAAAGGUAGUAAAAUUUAUUUAUAUAUAUUUAUACUUAUAAGUGGUUAAAAUUGGACAAAAUUUUAUUUUGAAAGUGGGAUAUGAAAAUAAAAUAUGAAUUAAAUAUUGAGGCAUAAUGUUAAAGGAAUUUAUAAUUUUUUCACAUACAUAUAUAUAUAUAUAUUAUUUUGUUAUAAUAUAUUUUUGUAUAUAGAUACAAAAUAUUUAUAUAUGCAUAUAAGGGAUGUAAAAAUAUUGGUGCCCACAUAUUAGCAUAAAGAUACAUUCAAAAAUUGUUUUUAUAUUAAUUAAAUAUACAAAAAUAUUAGUUUUUAAAAAAGAAAAAUUGUAAUUAUUAAAUAAAUAAACAUGAUUGCUGCUCUGAAAU